RNAcentral lists this ribosomal RNA (509 nucleotides) under uncultured Actinomycetes bacterium. RNAcentral describes it as "bacterial SSU rRNA". It matches the Rfam family "Bacterial small subunit ribosomal RNA", at positions 8 to 522 of the family's 1533-position model. The record is from RNAcentral. Lineage: Bacteria; Bacillati; Actinomycetota; Actinomycetes.
AGAGUUUGAUCUGGCUCAGGACGAACGCGGCGGCGUGCCUAACACAUGCAAGUCGAGCGGGAACCUCAGGAGGGGUAACCCUUCUGAGGGGAGAGCGGCGAACGGGUGAGUAACACGUGGGCAACCUGCCCCGGACACCGGGAUAACCCAGGGAAACCUGAGCUAAUACCGGAUACUCCGGCGCGAUCGCAUGGUCGCGCCGGGAAAGCUCCGACGGUCCGGGAUGGGCCCGCGGCCUAUCAGCUUGUUGGUGGGGUAACGGCCCACCAAGGCGACGACGGGUAGCUGGUCUGAGAGGACGGCCAGCCACACUGGGACUGAGACACGGCCCAGACUCCUACGGGAGGCAGCAGUGGGGGAUCUUGCGCUAAUGCGCGAAAGCGUGACGCAGCGACGCCGCGUGGGGGAUGAAGGCCUUCGGGUUGUAAACCCCUUUCGGCAGGGACGAAGGGAAACUGACGGUACCUGCAGAAGAAGUCCCGGCUAACUACGUGCCAGCAGCCGCGGUA